Molecule: transfer RNA, 67 nt
Filed under: Dinocras cephalotes
Lineage: Eukaryota; Metazoa; Arthropoda; Insecta; Plecoptera; Perlidae
Description: tRNA-Leu
Rfam family: tRNA
About the family: Transfer RNA (tRNA) molecules are approximately 80 nucleotides in length. Their secondary structure includes four short double-helical elements and three loops (D, anti-codon, and T loops). Further hydrogen bonds mediate the characteristic L-shaped molecular structure. tRNAs have two regions of fundamental functional importance: the anti-codon, which is responsible for specific mRNA codon recognition, and the 3' end, to which the tRNAs corresponding amino acid is attached (by aminoacyl-tRNA synthetases). tRNAs cope with the degeneracy of the genetic code in two manners: having more than one tRNA (with a specific anti-codon) for a particular amino acid; and 'wobble' base-pairing, i.e. permitting non-standard base-pairing at the 3rd anti-codon position.
Source: RNAcentral
UCUAUUUUGGCAGAUAAGUGCGCUGGAUUUAGGAUCCAUUUAUGUGAGUUUUUACUUACAAAUAGAA